RNAcentral lists this ribosomal RNA (468 nucleotides) under uncultured bacterium. RNAcentral's name for it is "partial 16S ribosomal RNA". It matches the Rfam family "Bacterial small subunit ribosomal RNA", at positions 28 to 507 of the family's 1533-position model. The record is from RNAcentral.
GACGAACGCUGGCGGCGUGCUUAACACAUGCAAGUCGAACGGAAAGGCCCUGCUUUUGUGGGGUGCUCGAGUGGCGAACGGGUGAGUAACACGUGAGUAACCUGCCCUUGACUUUGGGAUAACUUCAGGAAACUGGGGCUAAUACCGGAUAGGAGCUCCUGCUGCAUGGUGGGGGUUGGAAAGUUUCGGCGGUUGGGGAUGGACUCGCGGCUUAUCAGCUUGUUGGUGGGGUAGUGGCUUACCAAGGCUUUGACGGGUAGCCGGCCUGAGAGGGUGACCGGCCAGAUGGGGACUGAGAUACGCACCAGAGUCCUACGGGAGGCAGCAGUGGGGAAUAUGGCACAAUGGGCGGAAGCCUGAUGCAGCAACGCCGCGGGCGGGAUGACGGCCUUCGGGUUGUAAACCGCUUUCGCCUGUGACGAAGCGUGAGUGACGGUAAUGGGUAAAGAAGCACCGGCUAACUACGUG